Molecule: long non-coding RNA, 1344 nt
Organism: Heterocephalus glaber (naked mole-rat)
Lineage: Eukaryota; Metazoa; Chordata; Mammalia; Rodentia; Bathyergidae
Source: Ensembl
CAACAGCUCAUUCAGACCCCUCUGCACCCUGGGACACACACAGAAGUGCUUCUGCUCCCCCGCACCAGCUGGGAAGCCUCCCGGACACCGAGUCCAGGAGGAGAGGGCUAGAUUACAGAGGAGGAGAAGGAAGAAGGAGAAGCUGGGUCCCACGUGGCGCCAGGAGCUGAUGGGCUCUAAUCCACCCUGAGCCCUGGGAGAUGGAUACUUUUGGCCUUUUUUAAAGGGUAAUGUGAUUUGCUGCAUGUGUACCUGCUCUGGUCCAGGCAUCUACCCAAAUGCCACCCGUCCUGAGAAGUCAGGGUACAGAACCGAAGGAGAUGAUGGAUUUCCCCAAAACGGAGCUCCCUGCAGGCAGCCAGCACCACUCAUCGGAAAUGAGAGUGAGCCGUCAAGGGAGCCCUCAUCAUUCCAGCAGAGGGUAUCAGGGACGGCUGGCUGUCCCCACAGAGCACAGAAUCUGAGCACAGUGAAUUGCUGGCUCACACCACUGAGUUCUGGGGGUGACCGAUGACACAGUGAUAGUGCCCAGGAGAAGCUCUGAACCCUAAGAUGCUGUCCACACAGAAGGUGUGGUCAGCACACCUGAGUUCGGCAUCCUGGGGUUGUGUUGGUGACUGAGGACAUAAACUUGUGUCUUAGCCUGAUUUUCCCCUGGUGCAGAGGAUGGGACGGGGUUGGGUGUAGGCACACUCAUCUGGGAAGUGACCCUGGGACCCCGCACCAGGGACUUGAAGAACAGAACUGGGAGGUGACCUGGCCAACCCAAAGGUGUGUUAUUGAGCUGACACCACUGUGAGCAGUUGAGCUGCCAUAGUAGUUGGGGUGUGGGGUGUUCCUACCUGAGGCUCAUGUGUUGAAGGCUUGGUCCCCAAAAGCAAUGGAGCCAACUGACCAUGGACUGAAAGCUCUGAAACCAUGAGCCAACACUAACCUUUCCUCCUUUUAAGUUGACUGUCAUGUAUUUUGUCACAGCCAUAGAAAGCUGAUGAACAAGGGCAUCUGGUAUCACCUGAGCCCCUCCAAGGAAACAAAGAGUGAGCCCUGGGGCUAUGGGGAGGGUCUGUUUGCCCAGGACCCCACCAGCUGAGAGGGGCCCUAGGGAUGUCAUCGCCUGGCACCUGUCAGUUUGCUGAAGGCCCACGUGGCUUAGCAGCUCUGCUUGGCUGCUCCAGGGAGCCCAGGGGAGAAGCAGAUCAGGCAGUGAGGCCCCAUGUGUGAGGGUGUCAGGCUGUGGGGAGAACUCAGAGAGCCGGGCGUUAACAGACAUCUGAUGCUCUGGGCAGGACUGUGGGGCCAGCAGCUUCUGCCUGAGGUACUGGACCUGCAAGGGCAAGGCCCAGG